Molecule: ribosomal RNA, 496 nt
Filed under: uncultured bacterium
Lineage: Bacteria
Description: partial 16S ribosomal RNA
Rfam family: Bacterial small subunit ribosomal RNA
Source: RNAcentral
AUUGAACGCUGGCGGAAUGCUUUACACAUGCAAGUCGAACGGUAGAGGGGGCAACCCCUCGAGAGUGGCGAACGGGUGAGUAAUAUAUCGGAACGUGCCCAGUCGUGGGGGAUAACGUAGCGAAAGUUACGCUAAUACCGCAUACGAUCUAAGGAUGAAAGCGGGGGAUCGCAAGACCUCGCGCGAUUGGAGCGGCCGAUAUCGGAUUAGGUAGUUGGUGGGGUAAAGGCUCACCAAGCCAACGAUCUGUAGCUGGUCUGAGAGGACGACCAGCCACACUGGAACUGAGACACGGUCCAGACUCCUACGGGAGGCAGCAGUGGGGAAUUUUGGACAAUGGACGCAAGUCUGAUCCAGCCAUUCCGCGUUCAGGAUGAAGGCCCUCGGGUUGUAAACUGCUUUUGUACGGAACGAAAAGGUCUCUCUUAAUACGGGGGGCUCAUGACGGUACCGUAAGAAUAAGCACCGGCUAACUACGUGCCAGCAGCCGCCGUAA